Molecule: transfer RNA, 83 nt
Filed under: Polyangiaceae bacterium
Lineage: Bacteria; Pseudomonadati; Myxococcota; Polyangiales; Polyangiaceae
Description: tRNA-Leu
Rfam family: tRNA
About the family: Transfer RNA (tRNA) molecules are approximately 80 nucleotides in length. Their secondary structure includes four short double-helical elements and three loops (D, anti-codon, and T loops).
Source: RNAcentral
GGCCCCGUGGCGGAAUGGCAGACGCAGUCGACUUAAAAUCGACGGCCCGCGAGGGCGUGAGGGUUCGACCCCCUCCGGGGCCA